RNAcentral lists this ribosomal RNA (481 nucleotides) under uncultured bacterium. RNAcentral describes it as "bacterial SSU rRNA". It matches the Rfam family "Bacterial small subunit ribosomal RNA", at positions 329 to 803 of the family's 1533-position model. The record is from RNAcentral.
UGGCUAACUCCUACGGGAGGCAGCAGUGGGGAAUCUUGCGCAAUGCGCGAAAGCGUGACGCAGCAAUGCCGCGUGGGGGAAGAAGGCCUUCGGGUUGUAAACCCCUUUCAGUUGGGACGAAGCUCUGGCGGUGAAUAGCCGUUUGGAGUGACGGUACCUUCAGAAGAAGCCCCGGCUAACUACGUGCCAGCAGCCGCGGUAAUACGUAGGGGGCAAGCGUUGUCCGGAAUCAUUGGGCGUAAAGAGCGUGUAGGCGGCUUGGUAAGUCCGCUGUGAAAGUCCAGGGCUCAACCCUGGAAAGCCGGUGGAAACUGUCAAGCUUGAGUCCGGAAGAGGCGAGUGGAAUUCCUGGUGUAGCGGUGAAAUGCGCAGAUAUCAGGAGGAACACCAAUGGCGAAGGCAGCUCGCUGGGACGGUACUGACGCUGAGACGCGAAAGCGUGGGGAGCAAACAUGAUUAGAAACCCCUGUAGUCCAGCUGG